This 923-nucleotide long non-coding RNA is filed under the name Nicotiana benthamiana. RNAcentral describes it as "long non-coding RNA (NBEN_LNC011741)". The record is from RNAcentral. Lineage: Eukaryota; Viridiplantae; Streptophyta; Magnoliopsida; Solanales; Solanaceae.
UUUGAAUCCCUUCUCUCUCUGUUCUCUCUUAACUCCCCCUCAAACCUUAGCCGGCUUCUACCAUCUCAACCAUUAAACUCACCGGAAUCCAUGGCUUCUCAGGCAAUGGACAGCCUAUAAUCACCUCCUACGGCUCCUACAUGCCUGAUGCUUGAAGGAUCGAGGACAGACUUCGAAGUUCCUCUCUCAGACCUUCACCGAUUCGAGGAUUACUUUCAUCUCCGGCCUUGCUCUGGUGGCUCUUGGAUUUAUGAGCCUGUUUCUGACCUUAUCCGACUUAGAUCGGACCUUUCCAAGCCUUUCUCACUCUAGGGUUCUUCUGAAAUCCUAACUAUCCAAGUUUUUUCUUUCCGAUUUUCUUAGAUCUGUUGUGUAUCCAUGUUCUAUUUGAGUUUUUGAACGAUUUUCCCAACUUUUCUUUCAAAAUUACUUUCAAAAGUUACUUCUUCUCGGUUUAGUGUUUUCUGGAAAUUUUCAAAUUGUUUCUCUGACUUUCUUCUCCUUUCCUUUGUGUGUAUUUGUUUGUUCUAUGUUCUUAUGUUUUCUUUUCUACCAUGCAUGUUCUUCUACUAUGUUCUUAUGUUUUCAUGAAUAUUCUUUUACUAUCUUCGUUCUUUUCUUCUAUUGUGUUUUCUAUGCUAUGUUCUCACAUGCUUUCCCACUAUGUCCAGCUAUUUUUCUGAUAUGCUUCUCCUAUUGUAUCCUUCUACCGUGUGCUUAAGUGUUCAUUGUUUUCUCCUCUGCUUUACCUAUUUUAAGUUUUCCUAAAAGACCUAUUUAAAGAAUGUUUUCUUCUACUAUUUAUUCUACUCUCACUAUGCUUCGAAUCUGUUUAUUCACUCUGUUUGCUUUGAACCUUCUACUGUAGUUGUUUUUUUCUCAUGAUUCUCUGAAUGAGAUCUCUGAGCCUGUUUCAACUACUU